Onychomys torridus (southern grasshopper mouse) is the source of this 528-nucleotide long non-coding RNA. RefSeq lists it as uncharacterized. The record is from RefSeq and is a predicted model, not a curated record. The transcript is spliced from 3 exons. Lineage: Eukaryota; Metazoa; Chordata; Mammalia; Rodentia; Cricetidae.
CGGGCGGGUUAACUUCGCGCUCUGGGUAAAUGCUCAGUCGUCUGGGUGGAGACGCUGUAGAGAAUCUGGUUCUCAUUGGAUCUCCCAGCUGUUUGCCCCCGUUAAAGCCCUAACUUGUCUACUUUUAUUUGUUUGUUUGUUUGUUUUGCAGGACCUCCCGGGGCUAGACGUGUUGUGUUACCUUCCAGCACACCCACCAAGCCUGGGGUUGAGGUGGGACUUGUUCGGUCUGUCUUGAGUUCCUCUGAAACCAGCCUAGGAGAGACGCCUGGGUUCCGAGAAGUGGCCAGCGUUCCAGAGAAAUCUCAUCCCCAGUGACUACUCAGCCCCUCAGCCUUUGGUUCUUCAGCAGGCUCAACCUUAGCAGCAAAUAAUGAUAACAACAAGAUCAGUGAAAUCCUUUCCUCUCCCCACAAGGAUCUCUUCUUGGUUUAGCUAAACUCAUUUCUCUGGCUUCCUUGAGAAUGAUGACUGCAGUCCAACUAACCCAACAAUGGCUGGCUGUGAACAGAAAGUCCAAGAAUCUAG